Molecule: long non-coding RNA, 7333 nt
Organism: Peromyscus californicus insignis
Lineage: Eukaryota; Metazoa; Chordata; Mammalia; Rodentia; Cricetidae
Exons: 2
Source: RefSeq, a predicted model, not a curated record
CCCACAUCCCUACCCUAUUAUACUGACCCUGAAUAUGGAAGUAGGCUUUUCCAAGUAGUAUCAAGUACCCAUCUAUGAUGUGAACCUGAGCAGGGCAGAUCAGAGCCAGCCACCCUUGCCUACCAUCUCAGGUAUUGAAAGCUCAAGUCUUGCAGCUACCCAGGCACUUCUUAGCUGCUUCCAUGAUGAUCCCCCCCACAAUCCCCAUGAUAGAACUUGGAGGUCACUGAGUGCCAGAAAACCUGAAAUUCCUUGAGUUCUCCUGUCCAUCCAUGCUCACGUCCACUUACCCCUACUUUACUACUCUGAUAUGGUUAAACAUCUUUGAAGAACUUCACCAAAUGCUUCUUUCUUCAUCAGGCUCAUGCUAGGAAACUGACGAAUAUGAGAACCACUCAAAGAGGCUGAAUCUUCCUUGAGGAAAGCAAGACCCUGAGACAGUGAUUCUGGAACAGCUCCUCACUGAGUCAGUGACAUGGGAACCACAUCUGAGUGACUUCACCGAGCCCCGUUACCUCUUACCUAUGACCUGAAUGAUCAUGUGAAAUCCCUCAAGAAUUGAGAACCAUGUAGCAAACGUGUCCCUGAUCAGCCAUGACAAAUUAUAAAUCAGACAAGACACUCUGGGAGAUGCCAGUCAAGAGAGCUGAGCUGCCAUCUUCUCCACAGUCACAGAGUGGCUUCUCUGGACACAAAAGCAGCACACAAAUGUCGGGCCACUCUUACCUUUUCUAUAAACUGUAGUAAUACAUCUACUCAAGUUCUGUGACUCAGGCCAGUAGCCCCUCUCAAAUGGAAAGGCAUGGCAGUGUGUGUUGGUAGCCAUCUCCCCAGGCCAGUGUUUCCACUUUCCUGGCCAACAAGGCAGGGAAGAAUGUGCAGACGGUUCUCAUAACUCUGCUGUGGCUGAGCUCUGACUUGACCCACGCAAUGGAGGGACUCAGCAAGUGCGUUGGACUCACAGCUUCUGUCCAUAGCAGGUAUCUGUUAGAGUGACUGUUGGUUCCCGAGCACCCCUCUAACAGCCUGUAUUACUUUCUCAUUGCUCUCACAAAACGCUUGCCAAAGGCAACCUAAAGAAGGCUUUCUUUCGGGUCUCAGUUUGAGACUACAGUUCGUCAUGGAGGGAGGACAUGCGGUAAAAGCGUGACUCGGCUGGUGAGAACUUCCCAGCUGUCCAGAAGCUGAGGCGGAUGAAUGGUGGUACUCAGUCUGAUUUCUUUUUUGUCUUCAGUCUAUGACCCGAACCAUGGGAUAAUGUCACCCAUGUUUAGGGUGGGUCUUCCCUCUUCAAAGCCUUCCUAAAAUCACACCUGGUGGUCUGUUUCCAUGGAGAUUUUAGAUCCAGUCAACUUGGCAGCCACACAGACUUCGUUCUUCUCACGUUCAUUCACCUCGCCUUUCCACCUCUUCUCUGCCUCGAGGGGUCCUGACUUUAAAGGGCUGAGAAUCAACCACCUGAAGACAGCUUCUGCCACUCCAUGCCCUGGCGUCUUUUGCGACUGGCAACGAGAGUUGUCUGCCGUACCAGCUCUUUCCCCCACAUUCUAAGAGAACAAGAUUAAGCCUCUCAGUUUGCUUCUCAAGCCAUGGUUGGGGGGGAGGUGCUGUAAAUCCAGCUUGCGGUCGUCUGUCCUGCUAGUCAAUCAGCUUGAAACAGUAAAUGAAGAAACUACAUUCUUCUGCCAUUUCAUUAAUCAAUUUCCUCGUCUCUGGCUCUUGCCCUCCACAUUCCAGACAACUAAACCAUCACCAGCAGUCCCUGUAAACCAUGAGUUGUGUUCAGCUUCUAGCAAAUGUUCUACAUGAAUGUGUGCUCCUCAUAAUCAUACAGUGUGCACCUUUCCAGACCAGCUCUUCCACUGAGCAACAUGCACUUAAGGUUCAUCCAAUACUUGGUUUCUUUUCAUUCUUUAGCAACAUUUUAGAUGCAUAUCCCACAGUUUUUGUUUUCAUUUACCCACUUGAAAGCAUAUUGAUUGUUUCAAAUUAUUGGUGAUCAUGAAUAAAGCAGAUAUAAAUAUUUCUGUAUAUUUUUGUGUGGACAAAUGCUUUCAGUAAUAAAUGCAUUAGAGUAAUACCAUGAGCACGAUGGUCUGAUCAUUUGGUAAGAUGUGUUUGAUUUUGUGAGAAGCUAGCAGACUGUCUUCCCAAGUACCUGCACAGUCUUCCUUUCCAAGAUUUCUGUGUAAACAUUCUGGCUUCUCAGCUUCUGCCCCAGCAUUUGGUACUGUUGGUGUUCUGGACAUUAGCAUCCUGAAGCGCCUUCACUGGGUUCUUAGCUGUAUUAUUAUUUCAGAGUAUCUUAAAAAUAUACUUCCUUCUCCUGGCUCUGCAGUUUCUAACUUUGUAUUUGAGAGAUGAGAUUUAGAACCUCCAUAAAAUUGUAAGAUAGCAUGAUAUUUUCUGGGAGAUGGGAAUUAUUCUUAUUAUUAGAACCUUGUUUUGAUUUUUUUGAGACAGAGCUUCAUAUAGCUCAGUGUUUUAGUUUGCUUUCUGUUGCUGUGAUUAAAAUACUCUGACCAAAGCAACUUAGGGGAGGAAAGGAUUUAUUUGGCUUACACUUCUGUUUCACAAUCCAUCACUGAGGAAGUCAGGGCAGGAUCUCAGAGCGGAACUUGGAGGCAGGAACCCUGGAGGGAUGCUGUUUUAGCUUGCUUUCUGGCUUGCUCAUGCUUCGCUAGCUUUCUUAAUCUGCCUAGGGAUGGUGCCCACUGUGGGCUGGGCCCUCCUAUAUCAAUUAAUAAUCACGAUGACCUCCCACAGGCCAAUCUGUUCUAGAAAAUUCCUCAGUCAAGGACUUCCUUCUCCGAGGACCCUGGGAUGUGUCAUGCUGACAGUCAAAGCUAACUAGGAUACUCAGGCUGGCUUCAAACUUGCCAUGUAGCUGAGGCUAGCCUUGAACUUGUGAUCUUCCUGCUUCCCACUCCCAAGUGCCAGGAUUACAGACAUACACUACUGCAUCCAGCUUGUUAUUGGAAUUUAAAAGAUGUUUGUCAGCUACAAAGACAAAGCAUCUGUGUGUUAGAAGGUUUUAAUAAUAUUUUUAAACAUUCAGUAACUCUUAACCAAAGUCUUCUGAUUUAGAGUCCAUGAUUCUAAAGAUAUUAAAUGAAAGAUAAUCCCAUUUAUAACCAUCCAACAAGGUUUUGGAGCAUCUGUAGUGGGACAGGCAAAAUAUGAGGCCUUGGAGAUACACAACUUAACAACACAUGGUCUCUGUUCUCAAGAAAUUCAGCCCCCAGCUUCCUGUAGUCAGUCUGCAGUUAAAGGGGUAGACUCCAAGGCUGCUCUGCCAUUUUGCAGGUUCCCUCUGCAAGCUCAGUGCUGGUUAUUCUGUUAAUAUUCUGAUCCGCCCCUUGAAAUCCCACCCCUUGGCUCCGCCCUGCAUCUUGACUUAAAAGCCUCAUUCUAAGGAAAAACUCCUCCCCUUCCUCUCUCUCUUCCGCUUUUCCUCCCACGAGGUGUACACCCUUGACCCACCCCCCUUUCUCUUUCUCUCUUCUUCUCUCUUUCUGUCUCCCUCUUUCCUAUCUUUCUCUUCAUCUCUCUAUUAUAAUAAACUCUCUACAUGGAUGCAGCGUGUGGAUUGUGAAUUACUGGCUGCUGUCACCGCCGCCAUGCCUGCAUGGCAUGCAUCUGCCCAGCCAGUUGCUGCAUCUGCCCAGCAUGUUUCCUUGCAUAUGCAGGAUACCCUUGGGGGUCCCCCUGCGCAAUAAUUCGUAUCAUUGGCACCCCCACUGCUUUCUCCUGCCCACCGGCAGUCUUAUGAACUCUGGGAUCCUGUAUCACCCGCCAUUUUUCAGGCUGGAGCACCACCAGGGACUCUUCACCCUACCAGAUUGGUAACAUUCCUCCCCUUCCUUCUGCCAUUUUCCCACAAGUGAGGAUUAAUCUUGUUUCACUUGCUGGUGCCAUGCCCCUAUGUGACAGCAUAUGGAGACAGCCUGUGCCCACUCAAUUCCACGGCCCAUAGCCUUUGUUACAAUGGUCCAUUGUCUAUCUUGCACCAUUCAUUAGUCCUCACUGAUUCUCUGGGAUGCUGGAGGUCAGAUUCCAGAUUCGUCUCAUUUUGCUUGCUGGAACCAUGUGUCUUUUGGGCUCAUAGCCCUUUGGCCCUCAUCCCAAUUCGACAACAUAUGGAGACCGCCUGUGCCCUCUCAAUUCCACGUCCAUAGCCUUUGCGAUGACAGGUCAUUGGCUAUCUUGUGCUGUUAUCAUUGGACCUCGCUGAUCCUCUGGGAUGCCAGAGGUCAGUCCCCUGGGCCUUAUACAUCAUUGUGCCCCCACCACCACCACUGCCGCCAACCCAUGGCUUUGUUUGUUCCUGAUAUGGCCAUCUAUAUUUCUUUCUGACAGACAUUUACAUGCUUCAAUUUAUCUGUUCCUUAUCUGCUCAGUUUAUUUAAAAAAAACAAACAACAACUACAACAAAAAUACCACACGAACAUGUGGUCAGGUGCCAUAUUUCUAGGGGCAAUCACGUGAUCAGGCUGCACCAUCUUAAAUAAGGGCAACCACAUGGUCAAGCCACCAUCUGAAAUAAGGGCAACCGUGUGGUUUAGCCGCCAUCUUGGCUAAGGUCAAAACAAGCAGGUCAUAUGACCUCACUGCCAUCUUUACUAAGGGCAGCAUGGGUGGGGCACUAGCACUCAGGCUGUUGGUAGUCAGUAUGGAGGGAGGUUAGGGAAUUGCCUCUCACUGCACAUUGUUUCACCGUUGUUUUAUAGGCCGAGGAAAAGUCCUCUGGCCUUGGCCUGGCAUUCCCCAGAUGCCUCUCUCAGGCUUGAGCUGUCUGGGCAGGGUGGAGGUCCAGUCACAGCCCGCUGUUUUUUUUCUCCUAGGCUGCUUGUGUUGGCAGGGCGGAGAGGUAUGCGCUACCUCCAGGGCAUCAGCGGAACCACGUACAGACGGUAUUAUAUUAAGAUUUUAAAAUUUCAGAUCUUAACAUUAAUACAAUUCUGAUACACUUUGGGGUGCAAGCUCAGGAUUUUAAAUUUUCCUUGGUUACUCAUUACCUGCUUUUCCACAAUUUGGAUUUCAGUACUGAUUGAUAAUACUAAUUUAUCUAAAACUUUUAUUUUUUUCUCAUUUGCCUCUUCCUAAGGAUGGUAUUUUUUUCUCUCUCUCCUGGACUUGGGACUCCUGCUCUUCCCAAUUAUUAAGACCAUGCACCAAAAGGCUCCAAAUAAAUUCAUAAAUUUUUUUUUUUUUUUGGUUUUUCGAGACAGGGUUUCUCUGUGUAGCUUUGUGCCUUUCCUGGAUCUCGCUCUGUAGACCAGGCUGGCCUUGAACUCACAAAGAUCCGCCUGCCUCUGCCUCCCAAGUGCUGGGAUUAAAGGCGUGCGCCACCACCGCCCGGCUAAAUUCAUAAAUUUUAACCCCCAUCUCUAGUCCAUAUUUCAGCAGGCUGGCAAACACAUCGAAGCAGCUGUUGUGGACCACAACCUGCAGCGCUUUCCCUUACCUUUAACUAGUCAGAAUCCUCCUGACCUCCUGCGCCCUGUUUCAGCUUAAAGCAGCUAUGGAGAAUACGUUGUUCUGUGCUCCCUGUUCCCAGGACAGGCUGGAGGGCUACGUUAGGGAUGGAAACCCUGGCAUAGAGUCCACCAAGAGGGUCCUUUUCCUUUUCUCAGAGGGUCCCUUCCUCAGAGUUGGGCUGCACCCCGACUCACAAGCCCCUUUUCUCUUGUUCUCAUUUGGCCUUGGGAUCUUCCCCUGUUGCUCUUCUUUGCCUUCUCAGGAGACAGAUUAAGAAAUAAUUAUUUCUAUAUAAGUCAUUCAGGGUUAUAAUCUGGCUGUACUCACAGAUCAGAACUACAGCUACAGGGCCUUAAAAAUGUUAAUAGAUUCAGAUAUCACUGUCUAUGGCUUUAAAAAUGGCUCUCCUUACUCAAGGUCUAUUCAGGCUUAAGAAUGUGAGCCUCCCUGUCCCUGCUAACUUCAUUAAGCUGUAACUAACUGGGAAACCUGUAUAUCCACAUCUAACAGGUUUUGUUCCCCCCAGUCCUCAAACACCUGUAGAGAUCUGAGAAUUUGCCAUUUAAUAUAAAAGCCUUUUUAUGAUAAAGAGACAUGUCAGCUCCUAGCAGCAUCCUGUAUCUCCUCCAAGAAGAUAGAUGUCCGCAGAAGAAUUUCCACUCGGAAGCUUAUGGCAAGGCUAGUCACACAGCGAAAAGCUGAGAUCCUGUCCAGACUGUGAAUAAAUGGAACAACGGAGGACAGAUGGCCCUAUACUACAAAGUCAAGGUGGGUCAGUCUCCCCAAAUUUCUACUCCACAGAAAAAAAUCUGUCAGAUCUUCUGGGCUUAUCAGCUGAACAAGUGCUGCCUUUGGGGCUUCUGUCCCCCAGUGACCACGGGGAUUGCUGCCUAGGUAGCUGGAAAGCUGUCUCACUUCUUAAAUUUAUCCUUCUCAUAUCUGACGGUAUUUGAUGACUAGGGUAUCAGUUUAACGGCCCCAAUCCAAAGAUUAUAUAUACAUGCUCUCCAAUUACAGAUAGGUAUGCCUCAUUCACAGACUUCAUGGUACAGGAUAGACCUGUUUCAGAUAUAACUCCAGAGGUUCAAAGUUUUAAUACUGAUAAAUGGAGCUUUGAUAAACUGAUAUAACACUGACUACAAAUAGUUCUUAAGAGUCUUUAAAUGGAUUUUUUUUUAACCCUUUUACCAUGAUGUAAAUCCAUUCCAGCUGUUUUACAGAUACCUACAGGCUCCUGGGAAAAGUUUUGCUACUGCACCAAGAAAUCUGGUCUGAUGAAAACGAACAAUCUCCAGAGCCCAUUUCUGACCCCACCUAUUUUUCGAGCAUAUUUUGCAGAUUCACUCUUCCCGCCUGACCUCUAGAGAAACAGCAGAUGCCAUGGCUUUCUGUACUCCUGAUUUGGGGUGCCAUUUCCCCCCAAGCUCCUGGAACACCACUGCUGCAACCUGCCUCCUCAGCUCCCUCAAGGAACGUAUGCCUGAGAUCUCCCGUCGUGCGUGACUCCUGGUUCCCCCUUUCCACUUCACCCCUUGUCAGCUUGAAGUAGUCUUGAGAAUCCAGUGCCCUUGUUCCCCCACUUGCUCACAUAACUCACCUCUUUUUAUAAUAAUCAAAGUGGAGGAAUGUUAAUAUUCUGAUCUGCCCCUUGAAAUCCCACCCCUUGGUGCCACCCUGCGUCCUGACACAAAAACCUCAUUCUAAGGAAAAGCUCCUCCCCUUCCUCUCUGUCUUCUGCUUUUCCUCCCAUGAGGUGUGCGCCCUUGACCUCUCUCUCUCCCUCUUCUUCUCUCUCUUUCCUAUCUUUCUCCUCAUCUCUCUGUUAUAAUAAACUCUCCACGUGGACGCAGCA